CUGGCUCAGGACGAACGCUGGCGGCGUGCUUCAUACAUGCAAGUCGAACGAUAAGGCAUCUUCGGGUGUACAUAAGUGGCGGACGGGUGAGUAAUAUGUAGAGAAUCUGCCCUAGAGAGUGGGACAACAGUUGGAAACGACUGCUAAUACCGCAUAUGAGCGUACCUGAAAUGGUAUUCUUGAAAACUCCGGUGCUCUGGGAUGAGUCUGCAUCUGAUUAGCUAGUUGGGGGUGUAAUGGACCACCAAGGCGACGAUCAGUAGCUGGUUUGAGAGGAUGAUCAGCCACAAUGGGACUGAGACACGGCCCAUACUCCUACGGGAGGCAGCAGUAGGGAAUUUUGCGCAAUGGGGGAAACCCUGACGCAGCAACGCCGCGUGACCGAUGAAGCCCUUCGGGGUGUAAAGGUCUGUCAGUGGGGACGAAUAUUGACGGUACCCACAGAGGAAGCAUCGGCUAACUCCGUGCCAGCCGCCGC
Molecule: ribosomal RNA, 478 nt
Filed under: uncultured bacterium
Lineage: Bacteria
Description: bacterial SSU rRNA
Rfam family: Bacterial small subunit ribosomal RNA
Source: RNAcentral